UCAAUAUAGCUUGGGAAAUCAUAGCCAACGAGGAAAUAAUCACCACGACCAAAUCCAGAAUUUCCUUCAAGAGAAUCCAAGAGGGGAGCAUAGUCAUAGGUGCCAAAAGCACCACUCCUUAUAAGCUGCUUGGCUUCUUCAAAACGUGGGUCUGGUUUGAACUGUUGGUAACGUAAGCAAGGUUAAUGAUAAUUCAUCCACUUGUGAGAAAUAUAUACCAGAUCAAUAAGCUAACAAUACCAACAAAUUCAAUUUAGCUAUUUGCAAGUCAAGCUCAUCUAAUAAUGGUUGUAUAUCACUUAUCUACUAGAAAAUAUCUUACCAAGCUUCGUUCAAAAGAAAGAAAGAAAGAAAAUAUCUUACCAAGCCAUUCUCUCUAUCCUUCCUCAGCCCAGCAACUUGAUCUGCCUUGGCACCAAAAAGGAAGAAAUUUUCUUGUCCCACUUCCUCUCUUAUCUCAACAUUAGCUCCAUCAAGAGUACCAAUGAUAACACAACCAUUCAGAGAGAAUUUCAUAUUACUCGUUCCACUUGCUUCCAUGCCUGCGGUACUGAUGUGCUGUGACAGUUCACUCCCAGGAAUGAGCACCUCGGCCACAGAUACAUUGUAGUUGGGAAUGAACACCACCUGAGAGGAACAAGGAGGUCCACAUUUUAAUUCAAAAUUACAAUCAAAUAUUUGUGUAAGGAUUACAAAUCUAGAUUAUCUUAAUAUUACUCACUAUAUGAUAAUGACAUUAUUUUGAAUAGAUGGUGGACAUAUAAGACUCUGAUGGCCAAUUUGAGAAGUGACAUGUUUGUUUUGGAUGCGAUAGAAUGCAAAAGUUCCAUACCUUUAGGUAUUUAUUAACAUCAGGAUCAUUGUUCACCACAGCACCAACAUCAUUUACCAAUUUUACUAUUCUUUUGGCAUUGGUGUAAGUCGCGAAUGCUUUUCCC
RNAcentral lists this long non-coding RNA (938 nucleotides) under Oryza sativa (Asian cultivated rice). RNAcentral describes it as "long non-coding RNA (OSAT_LNC001736)". The record is from RNAcentral. Lineage: Eukaryota; Viridiplantae; Streptophyta; Magnoliopsida; Poales; Poaceae.